AAAUAGAAGGUAUUCUAAAGUGUAUGGAGAAAAUAGGGUUAGCAAAUACGAGCCAUCUCGGAAUAGGUAAAAUUGGAAACAACUGGUGAUUGCGUUGUGCCGAGGCCGAUACUGAGAUGGGAAAUUGCCCUCCCGGUAUAGGUGGAAAUAGCAAGAGGAUAUCAAUGAUAGCGACCGCGUAUGAAAGGACAGACAUGCACCAAUGUGUCAUAGCUAUCAAGCAAGCGGAUGAUCCUCACAGGUCUUUGCUAGGCGCAAACCAACCUUGUAUACUAUAAAUAGAUGCUCCCUGCCCAUUGCAGAGAGAAUCAUCUGAUUUCUCAUCUCUGCCCAUAAUAAGCAAUAAAAUUCUUUAGUUUUGUCUCCAA
RNAcentral lists this long non-coding RNA (368 nucleotides) under Capsicum annuum. RNAcentral describes it as "long non-coding RNA (CANN_LNC018926)". Lineage: Eukaryota; Viridiplantae; Streptophyta; Magnoliopsida; Solanales; Solanaceae. The record is from RNAcentral.